This 253-nucleotide ribosomal RNA is filed under the name uncultured bacterium. RNAcentral's name for it is "partial 16S ribosomal RNA". It matches the Rfam family "Bacterial small subunit ribosomal RNA", at positions 524 to 776 of the family's 1533-position model. The record is from RNAcentral.
UACGUAGGGGGCUAGCGUUGUCCGGAAUCAUUGGGCGUAAAGCGCGUGUAGGCGGUCCGGUAAGUCCGCUGUGAAAGUCGGGGGCUCAACCCUCGGAUGCCGGUGGAUACUGUCGGGCUUGAGUACGGAAGAGGCGAGUGGAAUUCCUGGUGUAGCGGUGAAAUGCGCAGAUAUCAGGAAGAACACCCGUGGCUAAGGCGGCUCUCUAGUACGGUACUGACGCUGAGACGCGAAAGCGUGGGGAGCGAACAGG